CCCCUGCCCCACUUACCGCUUCGUCCCGCUCGAGGAAAAGAAACAGGCGCUGGAGAGGAGAAGCGACGCGACUCAGGAGACGGCGGCGCAGGCGACUGACUUCUCCCAACGAAGGUCGAUCCACACCAAGUCUUCUUCUUACCCGCCAUGGAGAACGCCCCCCUGUCCGUUGUUCCCCGUCAUGGCGACCGAGGUCCGAGGAGGUCCCACCCUGCGGCGGUGGCGGCUACCUCUUGCCUACCAUGGCGAGCGUCCCCUCCCUUCAAGCGCCUGAAUCCCCAUGGCAGCCGCCCCCUCCCCUUGGUCAGAACCCUAAUCCCUAAAAUUCCCCUCUAAUCCCAAAUUCGGUGGGUGUAUGGAACUAUGGAUCCCCAUCAGCAACCCGAUUCAAGAGGGAAGAAGUUGUGGUGGUGGCGAAUUAUGCAACCAAUGUCUCUCACGACAUCUCUACUGGAGCCGCCUCUGCCUACUCUGGUGUGUUGCAGCUCCUUACUCUAGCCACGUGUUGCUUGCUCUCCCACUAGCCUCUGCCUCCUGUGGUCUCGAAGUUGAUGACACCCUGAUGCAAAGCUCCCACAAUCAUCCGCUCCAUCUCAGCAAAAAACAUGUCCAGCUGCAGAAAAGGAGUUUGUAUCCAGCUUGACCUCCAUAGCAGGAAGAUUUUAGUAAUCGUUCUAUCAAUGUUCUAUUAAUGGAGAAGGGGGAGAGCAAUGGAAAUAACACCCCGUCGUGGUCCUAGUGCUUCUCUCCGUGGGUUCUCUACAGGUACGUACUAGACAACUACCCAUUGUUUUUGUUUUCUACUGACAGUUUGAUCGCUUCAUCAAUCCUUCUAGAGGGUCUUGACAGGAAGGACUGAGCAGCCACUGUGCUGGAGUAGAUUGUGUGACAGGUUUUUUCCUCUCUAUCCUACCCGUGAUUGGUUUCUUUGGUGAAGAAAGCAUCACUAUCUUUCAAUACAUCAUGGAUGAUCAACAUGUAUGUCUUCAUGGUACAAGAAUGAAGAUUAACUGUUCAAUCUAUUGAUUCAGAGUGAGACAAGGGUGAAACAGAAUAAGCUCAUUUUUGUGAUUUAUACAUGGUGGAAUUCCAGAAUAGAGGGUUGACUCAUACUCAUACUUCAAUUCGGCUUAUAGGGAACAAUCAUGAACCUUCGGCCUCCUUCAUAGAUGGUUUGAUUUCGGCUGAGAUACCUGAACCUUUGGUUGAGCCCUGGGUUAUGCUCUUAUGGAUUAAUUUAUGGUUCACGGUCCAUGUGGAGAAUACAAAGUAAAGUGUGCAUGUAUGAAAGAUGGAUUGUGUUCCAAAAGAUUUCCCAAAGAUUUUAAUGAGCAGACAUCACUUGAUGAUAGAGGCUUUCCUAUAUAUCAUAUAUCAUAGACAUGAUUUGGGUUACUAUGUGAGGAACAAGGGUACUGUUAAGCUGGAUAAUCGAUGGGUAGUGGCGCACUGCUUACAACUGCUUAAAAGAUUCUAAGUGCACAUUAAUGUUGAGUGGUGCAACAAGACAAAUUUGCUCAAAUAUUUGUUCCAGUAUCUCACUGAGGGCCAUGAUGUUGCUCGCAUAAGGUUUCAACCUAUGGUCGAAUGUUGAGCGUUUGUUGCCCUUGGUGUGGCAACUAGAAGAAAUGAAAUUUUAAAAUUUGUUGAGUGCAGAUAUCUUUCUGCUUGCGAAGCAUACUGCCAUAUGUUUGCUUUCAAUAUACACGGUCGUGAGCCUGCAGUGGAGAGAUUGGUUGUGCACCUUCCUCGAGUCUUCAUAAGGAGUUACCUUGCUAUUUAAGACUCUCAAAAUAAUC
Molecule: long non-coding RNA, 1799 nt
Organism: Triticum dicoccoides
Lineage: Eukaryota; Viridiplantae; Streptophyta; Magnoliopsida; Poales; Poaceae
Exons: 5
Source: RefSeq, a predicted model, not a curated record